Amniculicola lignicola CBS 123094 is the source of this 86-nucleotide non-coding RNA. Lineage: Eukaryota; Fungi; Ascomycota; Dothideomycetes; Pleosporales; Amniculicolaceae. The record is from the annotation of a GenBank genome assembly.
GGCCCUAUGGCGCAAUGGUAGCGCGUCAGAUUCCAGUUCAUAUUGGAAAUACCUGAAGGCUAUCCGUUCGAAUCGGGUUAGGGUCA